This 460-nucleotide ribosomal RNA is filed under the name uncultured bacterium. RNAcentral's name for it is "partial 16S ribosomal RNA". It matches the Rfam family "Bacterial small subunit ribosomal RNA", at positions 338 to 795 of the family's 1533-position model. The record is from RNAcentral.
CCUACGGGUGGCAGCAGUGAGGAAUAUUGGUCAAUGGACGAGAGUCUGAACCAGCCAAGUAGCGUGAAGGAUGACUGCCCUAUGGGUUGUAAACUUCUUUUAUAUGGGAAUAAAACGUUCCACGUGUGGGAUUUUGUAUGUACCAUAUGAAUAAGGAUCGGCUAACUCCGUGCCAGCAGCCGCGGUAAUACGGAGGAUCCGAGCGUUAUCCGGAUUUAUUGGGUUUAAAGGGAGCGUAGGUGGAUUGUUAAGUCAGUUGUGAAAGUUUGCGGCUCAACCGUAAAAUUGCAGUUGAAACUGGCAGUCUUGAGUACAGUAGAGGUGGGCGGAAUUCGUGGUGUAGCGGUGAAAUGCUUAGAUAUCACGAAGAACUCCGAUUGCGAAGGCAGUUCACUGGACUGCCACUGACACUGAGGCUCGAAAGUGUGGGUAUCAAACAGGAUUAGAUACCCCAGUAGUC